AGAGUUUGAUCCUGGCUCAGAUUGAACGCUGGCGGCAUGCUUUACACAUGCAAGUCGGACGGCAGCACAGGGAAGCUUGCUUCUCGGGUGGCGAGUGGCGAACGGGUGAGUAACAUAUCGGAACGUACCGGGUAGCGGGGGAUAACUGAUCGAAAGAUCAGCUAAUACCGCAUACGUCUUGAGAGGGAAAGCAGGGGACCUUCGGGCCUUGCGCUAUCCGAGCGGCCGAUAUCUGAUUAGCUGGUUGGCGGGGUAAAGGCCCACCAAGGCGACGAUCAGUAGCGGGUCUGAGAGGAUGAUCCGCCACACUGGGACUGAGACACGGCCCAGACUCCUACGGGAGGCAGCAGUGGGGAAUUUUGGACAAUGGGCGCAAGCCUGAUCCAGCCAUGCCGCGUGUCUGAAGAAGGCCUUCGGGUUGUAAAGGACUUUUGUCAGGGAAGAAAAGGCCGUUGCCAAUAUCGGCGGCCGAUGACGGUAUCUGAAGAAUAAGCACCGGCUAACUACGUGCCAGCAGCCGCGGUAAUACGUAGGGUGCGAGCGUUAAUCGGAAUUACUGGGCGUAAAGCGGGCGCAGACGGUUACUUAAGCAGGAUGUGAAAUCCCCGGGCUCAACCCGGGAACUGCGUUCUGAACUGGGUGACUCGAGUGUGUCAGAGGGAGGUGGAAUUCCACGUGUAGCAGUGAAAUGCGUAGAGAUGUGGAGGAAUACCGAUGGCGAAGGCAGCCUCCUGGGAUAACACUGACGUUCAUGUCCGAAAGCGUGGGUAGCAAACAGGAUUAGAUACCCUGGUAGUCCACGCCCUAAACGAUGUCAAUUAGCUGUUGGGCAACUUGAUUGCUUGGUAGCGUAGCUAACGCGUGAAAUUGACCGCCUGGGGAGUACGGUCGCAAGAUUAAAACUCAAAGGAAUUGACGGGGACCCGCACAAGCGGUGGAUGAUGUGGAUUAAUUCGAUGCAACGCGAAGAACCUUACCUGGUUUUGACAUGUGCGGAAUCCUCCGGAGACGGAGGAGUGCCUUCGGGAGCCGUAACACAGGUGCUGCAUGGCUGUCGUCAGCUCGUGUCGUGAGAUGUUGGGUUAAGUCCCGCAACGAGCGCAACCCUUGUCAUUAGUUGCCAUCAUUCGGUUGGGCACUCUAAUGAGACUGCCGGUGACAAGCCGGAGGAAGGUGGGGAUGACGUCAAGUCCUCAUGGCCCUUAUGACCAGGGCUUCACACGUCAUACAAUGGUCGGUACAGAGGGUAGCCAAGCCGCGAGGCGGAGCCAAUCUCACAAAACCGAUCGUAGUCCGGAUUGCACUCUGCAACUCGAGUGCAUGAAGUCGGAAUCGCUAGUAAUCGCAGGUCAGCAUACUGCGGUGAAUACGUUCCCGGGUCUUGUACACACCGCCCGUCACACCAUGGGAGUGGGGGAUACCAGAAGUAGGUAGGGUAACCGCAAGGAGCCCGCUUACCACGGUAUGCUUCAUGACUGGGGUGAAGUCGUAACAAGGUAGCCGUAGGGGAACCUGCGGCUGGAUCACCU
RNAcentral lists this ribosomal RNA (1529 nucleotides) under Neisseria gonorrhoeae. RNAcentral's name for it is "bacterial SSU rRNA". It matches the Rfam family "Bacterial small subunit ribosomal RNA". The record is from RNAcentral. Lineage: Bacteria; Pseudomonadati; Pseudomonadota; Betaproteobacteria; Neisseriales; Neisseriaceae.